UAGGAAGUGCAGAAGCACAUGAUGGUGAAA
Molecule: non-coding RNA, 30 nt
Filed under: Homo sapiens (human)
Lineage: Eukaryota; Metazoa; Chordata; Mammalia; Primates; Hominidae
Source: RNAcentral